RNAcentral lists this ribosomal RNA (580 nucleotides) under Theileria sp. RNAcentral's name for it is "SSU rRNA". It matches the Rfam family "Eukaryotic small subunit ribosomal RNA", at positions 525 to 1140 of the family's 1831-position model. The record is from RNAcentral. Lineage: Eukaryota; Apicomplexa; Aconoidasida; Piroplasmida; Theileriidae.
UUAAACCUCUUCCAGAGUAUCAAUUGGAGGGCAAGUCUGGUGCCAGCAGCCGCGGUAAUUCCAGCUCCAAUAGCGUAUAUUAAAAUUGUUGCAGUUAAAAAGCUCGUAGUUGAAUUUCUGCCGCCCCGCCUCUGCCCCUCGACGGGCGUUUGCGCCGCGGCUUUUUCGGAUUAUGCUUGCAUUUUCCGAGUGUUACUUUGAGAAAAUUAGAGUGCUCAAAGCAGGCUUUUGCCUUGAAUAGUUUAGCAUGGAAUAAUAGAGUAGGACUUUGGUUCUAUUUUGUUGGUUUUAGGUACCAAAGUAAUGGUUAAUAGGAACAGUUGGGGGCAUUCGUAUUUAACUGUCAGAGGUGAAAUUCUUAGAUUUGUUAAAGACGAACUACUGCGAAAGCAUUUGCCAAGGAUGUUUUCAUUAAUCAAGAACGAAAGUUAGGGGAUCGAAGACGAUCAGAUACCGUCGUAGUCCUAACCAUAAACUAUGCCGACUAGAGAUUGGAGGUCGUCAGUUUUUACGACUCCUUCAGCACCUUGAGAGAAAUCAAAAUCUUUGGGUUCUGGGGGGAGUAUGGUCGCAAGGCUGA